Molecule: long non-coding RNA, 1481 nt
Organism: Pieris napi
Lineage: Eukaryota; Metazoa; Arthropoda; Insecta; Lepidoptera; Pieridae
Exons: 3
Source: RefSeq, a predicted model, not a curated record
UUGAAAGUUUUGUUAAUUGCACUACUACAUUGAAUGACAUCAUUUUAAUGAAAGAAGUUAAAGGUGUCAAAUUAAUCAAUGAAGUAUAAUGGUAUAUUUUUAACUAGUCAGGAUAUUCUUACCUACACUAAAACUUAACAAUAUUAUUCAACUUAUAUUUUACUAAAAUUUCCUUGACUCUUACAGUUAAUAUGGUUACAUAGGGAACUAACAAAUGUAUGCUGUACUUGAACAACUAUACAGCCAUUUUAUGUUUACUUAAUAGUAAAGAAACCCUUUUUAUGGCUUUAUGGUAUCAAAACUGGCUUUUCAUGAAACCAAUAUAUGUUUACCUUCAUUGUCAUAAGUUGUUUCUAUUUAGAAUCUCAUUCUUAAACACCUAAGUUCUAUAUAGACAAUACCAAAGCUAAUUGCUAUGAGGUGUAAAUUUUCCUAAGACGAAGUCCACUUACAACCAUUCUUCGCUAUAGAAAAUUUGAUAUAGAACCUAGGCAUUAAACAUGUCAGUUAAAUGAUGAAGUCCAUGUGAGUGCUUUACUGAAAAUGUGUAAUCAUAGCUGAUAUAAAGUUUUAACUAUAUAACUAUUAUAUUAUAGGUAGAUUGUCUUCUCUUUAGAAUUCUAAUCUUGUUACACUUAUUAAUAAUAAAUGGUGAUUAUCAAUUUCAAUUUUUAGGAUUGUUGCGGAUGUUGUUAAUAUAAAGCAAAUUAUCAAAUAAUGUUAACUUGAAAAGGCUUAAAAUAUUUCAACGGUUUUGAAUAAAACGGUGCUUCAGAAAGAACUUAAAGAAAAAUAGUUUAUAGUUUUGACAUGGGAUGUUGUGAUAACCUGAUAGUCACUGCUAGUUGAUCACAAGGCACCUAGAUGUGUAAUUUUUAAGUGUGAAAUUGUAUACCUUCUUUAAGUCUUUCUGAAUUAUCCAUCUUGUCUAGAGAUUUUGUUGCAUAAUUUUUAUUGUUGUAAAUUAAUCAAAUGGGCUAUAUUUUUAUUUAAAAGCAGUUUGUUAAUUGUUUUGCUAUUAUAUGUGAUGUUCGGUAAAAUUGAAAACCCCUAAACUGAUUAUAUUGGAUCUGGAUUAUGUGUACUUGAUUUUUGCUACUUAUGAAUUUUUAUUUGACAAUUUUUAUUGGAAUUCAAUAUAUUAUGGUACAUUUGUAAGCCCUAUAUAAUAAUCCUAUAUAUUAUAGCCAUUAAAAGGUAUAUUAUGCUUAAUAUAGAUUGUAAGUUUUACUACUUAUUCUAAAACUGAAUCCUUCCUAUCUCUAGAGAAGAAUACAUGAUUCAAGUAAAUAAUAUAUUAUAUAUACCUAUUGCACUGUUGGAUUCAAUGUUGUCUUAUAAUACUCUUCUAUGACUAUGAUAGAAUUAUGCAUUUCAUCUGGGCCUAAAGAAUGUUAAUGCCAUAGCUGGAUAUUCCUUAGGGAGCGUUCAAGUAUUACGUAAGAAAUUUGGGGGGGGGGUGCUUUACGAUGCGGGGCGGG